Molecule: microRNA precursor, 81 nt
Filed under: Cephalopterus ornatus (amazonian umbrellabird)
Lineage: Eukaryota; Metazoa; Chordata; Aves; Passeriformes; Cotingidae
Also listed under: 17 other names
Description: mir-128 microRNA precursor family
Rfam family: mir-128 microRNA precursor family
Source: Rfam by way of RNAcentral
GAGCUGCUGGAUUCGGGGCCGUAACACUGUCUGAGAGGUUUACAUUUCUCACAGUGAACCGGUCUCUUUUUCAGCUGCUUC